RNAcentral lists this long non-coding RNA (283 nucleotides) under Homo sapiens (human). RNAcentral's name for it is "HSALNT0252401". The record is from RNAcentral. Lineage: Eukaryota; Metazoa; Chordata; Mammalia; Primates; Hominidae.
AGAGUAAUUUAUGGAAGUUGUCCUGCUAGUGGUCAUCAUCCAAUUCAUUGAGAACCUGAAUAGAACAAAAAACUGAAGAAGGACGGAUUUGUGUUCUUUCUGCCUGACUGCCUGAGUUGGGACAUCCAUUUCUCCUGCCCUUGAACUGGGAUUUACACCAUCAGCUCUCCUGGUUCUCAGGCCUACAGAUUCUGACUGAAACAACACCACCAGCUUUCCUAGGUCUCCAGCUUGCAGAGGACAGGUCAUGAGACUUCUCAGCCUCUAUAAUCAUGUGAAUAAA